GGUCUGGUGGUCUAGUGGUAUGAUUCUCGCUUAGGGUACACCCUACGCUCAGAUAUGCGAGAGGUCCCGGGUUCAAUCCCCGGCCAGACCC
RNAcentral lists this transfer RNA (91 nucleotides) under Xylaria cubensis. Its description in RNAcentral is "tRNA-Pro". It matches the Rfam family "tRNA". Rfam says of the family: Transfer RNA (tRNA) molecules are approximately 80 nucleotides in length. Their secondary structure includes four short double-helical elements and three loops (D, anti-codon, and T loops). Lineage: Eukaryota; Fungi; Ascomycota; Sordariomycetes; Xylariales; Xylariaceae. RNAcentral also lists the same sequence under 1 other name. The record is from RNAcentral.